RNAcentral lists this unclassified non-coding RNA (367 nucleotides) under soil metagenome. RNAcentral's name for it is "partial contains 5.8S ribosomal RNA, internal transcribed spacer 2, and large subunit ribosomal RNA". The stretch from base 1 to 121 matches the Rfam family "5.8S ribosomal RNA", at positions 35 to 154 of the family's 154-position model. The record is from RNAcentral.
GAUGAAGAACGCAGUGAACGUGCGAAACGUAAUGUGAAUUGCAGAAUUCAGUGAAUCAUCGAAUCUUUGAACGCAUCUUGCGCUCCUUGGUAUUCCGAGGAGCAUGCCUGUUUGAGUGUCGUGAAGUACUCUCAAUUUCAAUCUUUUUCUUGGUUUGGAAUUGGAUUUGGGUGAUUGUUGUGUUUCACAGCUCAUCCUAAAUGCAUUAGCGAUCUGCCUUUGAUCACACACAAUGUGAUAAGAAAAAGCAUUGUUAGCAUCGAGUCAGGGUUGCUUCGAACCGUCCUUUCGGACAUCAUUCUAUGUCAUUUGACCUCAGAUCAGGCAGGACUACCCGCUGAACUUAAGCAUAUCAAUAAGCGGAGGA